RNAcentral lists this ribosomal RNA (253 nucleotides) under uncultured archaeon. RNAcentral's name for it is "partial 16S ribosomal RNA". It matches the Rfam family "Archaeal small subunit ribosomal RNA", at positions 474 to 727 of the family's 1478-position model. The record is from RNAcentral.
AACCAGCACCUCAAGUUGUCAGGAGGAUUAUUGGGCCUAAAGCAUCCGUAGCCGGCUCUGUUAGUUUUCGGUUAAAUCCAUAUGCUCAACAUAUGGGCUGUCGGAAAUACUGCAGAGCUAGGGAAUGGGAGAGGUAGACGGUACUCGGUAGGAAGGGGUAAAAUCCUUUGAUCUAUCGAUGACCACCUGUGGCGAAGGCGGUCUACCAGAACAUGUUCGACGGUGAGGGAUGAAAGCUGGGGGAGCAAACCGG